This 250-nucleotide ribosomal RNA is filed under the name Salmonella enterica. Its description in RNAcentral is "partial 23S ribosomal RNA". It matches the Rfam family "Bacterial large subunit ribosomal RNA", at positions 1292 to 1545 of the family's 2925-position model. Lineage: Bacteria; Pseudomonadati; Pseudomonadota; Gammaproteobacteria; Enterobacterales; Enterobacteriaceae. The record is from RNAcentral. RNAcentral also lists the same sequence under 2 other names.
GAAUGCUGACAUAAGUAACGAUAAAGCGGGUGAAAAGCCCGCUCGCCGGAAGACCAAGGGUUCCUGUCCAACGUUAAUCGGGGCAGGGUGAGUCGACCCCUAAGGCGAGGCCGAAAGGCGUAGUCGAUGGGAAACGGGUUAAUAUUCCCGUACUUGGUGUUACUGCGAAGGGGGGACGGAGAAGGCUAUGUUGGCCGGGCGACGGUUGUCCCGGUUUAAGCGUGUAGGCUGGUUUUCCAGGCAAAUCCGG